GCUACUGUAGCUCAACUGGUAGAGCAACUGAUCUGUAAUCAGUAGGUUGAAAGUUCGAGUCUUUUCAGUAGCUCCA
This 76-nucleotide transfer RNA is filed under the name Caudoviricetes sp. Its description in RNAcentral is "tRNA-Thr". It matches the Rfam family "tRNA". Rfam says of the family: Transfer RNA (tRNA) molecules are approximately 80 nucleotides in length. Their secondary structure includes four short double-helical elements and three loops (D, anti-codon, and T loops). Lineage: Duplodnaviria; Heunggongvirae; Uroviricota; Caudoviricetes. The record is from RNAcentral.